UCAAGAAAAUAAACUUUUAUCCGUUCUCAUCAUUGGGAAAAACGUGUUUCGCGUUAUUUUAAAUAAUUAAUCGAUUUCUUAAAGACAAUUCCUUUUAAAGAAUUCCCAUAAAGAACAAUGAGAAACGGCGAAUGUCAUUGGCACGCACUAAUAAUAAUAAUAAUAAUAAUUUGUACAAUUCUUAAAAAAUUAAUAUUUAAAUAUUUUAAAUGACUUACGAAAAUAAUAUAAUCAAUUAAAAUAUUUAAAUUUUGAACUGUUUUAGUUUUUUUUCCCCUUCGAAAAACGUAAAAUCAUUUUGGAAUGACUAAGCCUAACAUGUCGUUUGUGCAGACAAUUGCCACAGUUGUUUGUUAUACAAAAACAUUGCGUAUAAAGUUUAUAAUAAUUGAAAUAAUAUUUGAAUUGUAAUAACAAAAAUUGCGUUUUAUUUUCAUUUUUAUAACGUUUAAAAAUAAUUACGACUCACCUAAACCAACAAUUUCGAACAGAACAAUCUCCCGCAUUCACACCAACUGUAGUGCCAUCUGUAGAAAAUCUUACGUCGUCACGUCAUGAAGAGUAAAAACGAUUAACCCAAUUUUCGAUGACUAUGGCACUUAAAUCAAGCUGAAUGAUGUUCGCUUUAAGGUAGUCAACAAUUAGUGAACUAAACAAGGGAUUUAAAGUGAACCCAUAAAAAGUAAUCCAUCGGAUUCAAGUCACAAAAUCGCGUGGGCAGUUAACAGCUGCCUUUCUCGAAAUAAUCUUGUCACUAAACUUCGACUUCAACAGUGCAAUCAUAUCGUGGGUUUUGAUAAUAAAUAAUUUCAACACAUUGA
Long non-coding RNA from Centruroides sculpturatus (bark scorpion), 821 nucleotides. RefSeq lists it as uncharacterized. NCBI's taxonomy places the organism in Eukaryota, Metazoa, Arthropoda, Arachnida, Scorpiones, Buthidae. The record is from RefSeq and is a predicted model, not a curated record. The transcript has 2 exons.